RNAcentral lists this ribosomal RNA (392 nucleotides) under uncultured Gammaproteobacteria bacterium. RNAcentral's name for it is "bacterial SSU rRNA". It matches the Rfam family "Bacterial small subunit ribosomal RNA", at positions 370 to 779 of the family's 1533-position model. Lineage: Bacteria; Pseudomonadati; Pseudomonadota; Gammaproteobacteria. The record is from RNAcentral.
AAUGGGGGAAACCCUGAUCCAGCAAUGCCGCGUGAGUGAUGAAGGCCCUAGGGUUGUAAAACUCUUUCAGAAGUGAAGAUGAUGACGGUAACUUCAGAAGAAGCUCCGGCUAACUCCGUGCCAGCAGCCGCGGUAAUACGGAGGGAGCUAGCGUUGUUCGGAAUUACUGGGCGUAAAGAGCGUGUAGGCUGUUAGGUAAGUCAGAGGUGAAAUCCCUAAGCUCAACUUAGGAACUGCCUUUGAUACUAUCUUACUAGAGAUCGAGAGAAGUUAGCGGAAUUCCAAGUGUAGAGGUGAAAUUCGUAGAUAUUUGGAAGAACACCAGUGGCGAAAGCGGCUAACUGGCUCGUAUCUGACGCUGAGACGCGAAAGCGUGGGUAGCAAACAGGAUU